This 497-nucleotide ribosomal RNA is filed under the name uncultured bacterium. RNAcentral's name for it is "partial 16S ribosomal RNA". It matches the Rfam family "Bacterial small subunit ribosomal RNA", at positions 28 to 507 of the family's 1533-position model. The record is from RNAcentral.
GAUGAACGCUGGCGGCGUGCCUAAUACAUGCAAGUCGAGCGAACAGAUAAGGAGCUUGCUCCUUUGACGUUAGCGGCGGACGGGUGAGUAACACGUGGGUAACCUACCUAUAAGACUGGAAUAACUCCGGGAAACCGGGGCUAAUGCCGGAUAACAUUUAGAACCGCAUGGUUCUAAAGUGAAAGAUGGUUUUACUAUCACUUAUAGAUGGACCCGCGCCGUAUUAGCUAGUUGGUAAGGUAACGGCUUACCAAGGCAACGAUACGUAGCCGACCUGAGAGGGUGAUCGGCCACACUGGAACGGAGACACGGUCCAGACUCCUACGGGAGGCAGCAGUAGGGAAUCUUCCGCAAUGGGCGAAAGCCUGACGGAGCAACGCCGCGUGAGUGAUGAAGGUCUUCGGAUCGUAAAACUCUGUUAUUAGGGAAGAACAAAUGUGUAAGUAACUGUGCACGUCUUGACGGUACCUAAUCAGAAAGCCACGGCUAACUACGUG